Non-coding RNA from Apaloderma vittatum (bar-tailed trogon), 84 nucleotides. The record is from Rfam. NCBI's taxonomy places the organism in Eukaryota, Metazoa, Chordata, Aves, Trogoniformes, Trogonidae.
GGACUGGUUAUCUCAGUGGUUUGAGAGCGAUGCUGACAACAAAGACCAACACCAAGGUCGUGGGUUCGAUUCCUGCUCGGUCCC